GGCAUUAGUUACAAUGUACAUGUUCACGAUCUUUGAAUAUGGUAGAAACUAGAAAUGUUUGAUAACAGCACUGAAAAAGCGUGAGACAGAGGAGGGCAGCUUGGUUGAAUCAGUGUUCCUUCAACGGCACUACAAUGGCAGAAAACACAAUUGAUUUUGGAGAGUUAUCGACUGAUGAAAGCUUAAAGAAAUCUGUGACUGAGUUGCAUGACAGUGUGAAGAAAUUUGGUGAUUUCCUACAGUUGGCGUGUGAGAAAGACGUUUACAGUAAUCUAAGUACAGAGGACCGUGUGAAAUAUGAUUUAUUUCUUUCUUACUCACUCAGUACACUUUUUUGGACCUAUCUGCGAACCCAGGGUCUUGAUCCUACCAAGCAUGCUAUUAAAGGAGAAAUUGAAAGAGUUCGUGGAUAUAAUAUACGAGCACGACAGAUACAUGAAAGGCGUACCAUAAUGCCACGUAUUGACAAGGCGGCAGCAGGUCGCUUCGUCAGAAGUGGCUUGUGGCAGCCAAGGUCUGCUGAAGAACGACAGCAAGAGGAACAACCGCCUGAUGAAUCAGUAGACUCUGUUAUGUAACAAAUUGUCCACUUAUGUAUAUACUUCAGUUGAGUCUUUAAAGUUAUUAUUUAUGUAUUGUUGAUAUUUUAUUAGACUAAAGAGUAGUUAGUCUAAUUUCUUUUGUACACUGAAAACUACUGUUGACAAUUCCAUCAUCAAUACUGUCACCUCAUAAUGUAAAUUGUUCAUACUUGCCUGUUUUUCUGUAAACAUGAAACUGUAGGAACUGCUGAGGUGUAAGUAAAAAGGAAACAACCUACUCUAAA
This is a long non-coding RNA of Schistocerca gregaria, 826 nucleotides long. RefSeq lists it as uncharacterized. NCBI's taxonomy places the organism in Eukaryota, Metazoa, Arthropoda, Insecta, Orthoptera, Acrididae. The transcript has 2 exons. The record is from RefSeq and is a predicted model, not a curated record.